Molecule: ribosomal RNA, 321 nt
Filed under: uncultured Leptophryidae
Lineage: Eukaryota; Endomyxa; Vampyrellida; Leptophryidae
Description: SSU rRNA
Rfam family: Eukaryotic small subunit ribosomal RNA
Source: RNAcentral
GAUUUCUGAACUAGUGUUUCUAGCCGGCCACGGUUUCGUGUGUUAGUGCAAGAAAUACUGUUCAUCCUUUUAUUUUUUAUAUGAGAUCUUCAUUGAUUCCAUAUAGAGAAUAAAUCGUUUACUGUGAGAAAAACAAAGUGCUCAAAGCAGGCUUUACAGCUUGAAUGCGUUGGCAUGGAAUAAUAAGAUAGGACUUUGUUUCUAUUUUGUUGGCUCUGAGGAACAAAGUAAUGAUUGAUAGGGAUAGUUGGGGGUGCUAGUAUUGGCCGGCCAGAGGUGAAAUUCUUGGAUUCGGUCAAGACUAACUUAUGCGAAAGCAUU